UAUGAUCCAGAGUACCACGGGACACGUGAAACCCUGUGGGAAGCAGGAGGGACCACCCUCCAAGGCUAAAUACUACCUAGUGACCGAUAGCGUAUAGUACCGUGAGGGAAAGGUGAAAAGAACCCCGGGAGGGGAGUGAAAUAGAACCUGAAACCCUGCACUUACAAGCUGUGGAAGCACAUUUCUUGUGUGACCGCGUACUUUUUGUAGAACGGGCCAACGAGUUACGUUAAGUAGCAAGGUUAAGCACUUAAGGUGCGGAGCCGUAGCGAAAGCGAGUUUUAACUGAGCGUUCAGUUACUUGACGUAGACCCGAAACCGGGCGACCUACCCAUGAGCAGGAUGAAGCGAAAGUAAAAUUUCGUGGAGGUCCGAACCCACGAGCGUUGAAAAGCUCGGGGAUGACUUGUGGGUAGCGGUGAAAUUCCAAUCGAGCCCGGAGAUAGCUGGUUCUCCCCGAAAUAGCUUUAGGGCUAGCCUCAAGGUGAGAGAUACGGAGGUAGAGCACUGAAUGUCCUAGGGGGUAUUGCACCUACCGAAGACUAUCAAACUCCGAAUGCCGUCAUCUUAUACUUGGGAGUCAGACUGUGGGUGAUAAGAUUCAUAGUCGAAAGGGCAACAGCCCAGAUCGUCAGCUAAGGUCCCUAAAUGUAAGUUAAGUGGUAAAGGAUGUGGGAUUGCACAGACAACCAGGAUGUUGGCUUAGAAGCAGCCACUCAUUCAAAGAGUGCGUAAUAGCUCACUGGUCGAGUGAUCCUGCGCCGAAGAUUUCCGGGGCUAAAACUUACUACCGAAGCUACGGCAUCAGUAAUGAUGGGUAGGGGAGCUUCCCAUACGGGUUGAAGCAUGACCGUAAGGACAUGUGGACAGUAUGGGAGUGAGAAUGUUGGCAUGAGUAGCGAGAUGUGGGUGAGAAUCCCACAGGCCGUAAACCCAAGGUUUCCAGGGGAAGGUUCGUCCGCCCUGGGUUAGUCGGGACCUAAGCUGAGGCCGAAAGGCGUAGG
RNAcentral lists this ribosomal RNA (1004 nucleotides) under Clostridioides difficile. RNAcentral's name for it is "partial 23S ribosomal RNA". It matches the Rfam family "Bacterial large subunit ribosomal RNA", at positions 401 to 1415 of the family's 2925-position model. Lineage: Bacteria; Bacillati; Bacillota; Clostridia; Peptostreptococcales; Peptostreptococcaceae. The record is from RNAcentral.